GUGGAUAUAUCUUAGUGGUAGAGCAUUUGCCUAGUAUGCAGAGGCACUGGAUUCAAUCUCCAUCACCACA
Molecule: transfer RNA, 70 nt
Filed under: Urocitellus parryii (Arctic ground squirrel)
Lineage: Eukaryota; Metazoa; Chordata; Mammalia; Rodentia; Sciuridae
Also listed under: 1 other name
Description: Spermophilus parryii (Arctic ground squirrel) tRNA
Rfam family: tRNA
About the family: Transfer RNA (tRNA) molecules are approximately 80 nucleotides in length. Their secondary structure includes four short double-helical elements and three loops (D, anti-codon, and T loops).
Source: Rfam by way of RNAcentral